RNAcentral lists this ribosomal RNA (738 nucleotides) under uncultured bacterium. RNAcentral describes it as "bacterial SSU rRNA". It matches the Rfam family "Bacterial small subunit ribosomal RNA", at positions 235 to 969 of the family's 1533-position model. The record is from RNAcentral.
GUUCUAUUAGCUAGAUGGUAAGGUAACGGCUUACCAUGGCUUUGAUAGAUAGGGGUCCUGAGAGGGAGAUCCCCCACACUGGUACUGAGACACGGACCAGACUCCUACGGGAGGCAGCAGUGAGGAAUAUUGGACAAUGGGCGAGAGCCUGAUCCAGCCAUGCCGCGUGCAGGAAGACUGCCCUAUGGGUUGUAAACUGCUUUUAUACGGGAAGAAACACUCCCUCGUGAGGGAAUUUGACGGUACCGUACGAAUAAGGAUCGGCUAACUCCGUGCCAGCAGCCGCGGUAAUACGGAGGAUCCAAGCGUUAUCCGGAAUCAUUGGGUUUAAAGGGUCCGCAGGCGGGAUAAUAAGUCAGUGGUGAAAGUCUGCAGCUCAACUGUAGAACUGCCAUUGAUACUGUUGUCCUUGAGUAAUUAUGAAGUGGUUAGAAUAUGUAGUGUAGCGGUGAAAUGCAUAGAUAUUACAUAGAAUACCGAUUGCGAAGGCAGAUCACUAAUAAUUUACUGACGCUGAUGGACGAAAGCGUAGGUAGCGAACAGGAUUAGAUACCCUGGUAGUCUACGCCGUAAACGAUGGUUACUAGCUGUUUGGCUCGAUUGAGAGCUGAGUGGCUAAGCGAAAGUGAUAAGUAACCCACCUGGGGAGUACGUUCGCAAGAAUGAAACUCAAAGGAAUUGACGGGGGCCCGCACAAGCGGUGGAGCAUGUGGUUUAAUUCGAUGAUACGCGAAGAAC